AGGACGAACGCUGGCGGCGUGCUUAACACAUGCAAGUCGAGCGGAAAGGCCCUUCGGGGUACUCGAGCGGCGAACGGGUGAGUAACACGUGAGUAACCUGCCCUAGGCUUUGGGAUAACCCUCGGAAACGGGGGCUAAUACCGGAUAUUCACUUUUGUGGCAUCACAAUUGGUGGAAAGUUUUUCGGCCUGGGAUGGGCUCGCGGCCUAUCAGCUUGUUGGUGGGGUGAUGGCCUACCAAGGCGACGACGGGUAG
This 255-nucleotide ribosomal RNA is filed under the name uncultured bacterium. RNAcentral's name for it is "partial small subunit ribosomal RNA". It matches the Rfam family "Bacterial small subunit ribosomal RNA", at positions 26 to 286 of the family's 1533-position model. The record is from RNAcentral.